Molecule: RNase P RNA, 297 nt
Filed under: unidentified eubacterium clone PS#4
Lineage: Bacteria; Bacillati; Cyanobacteriota
Description: partial ribonuclease P RNA
Rfam family: Bacterial RNase P class A
About the family: Ribonuclease P (RNase P) is a ubiquitous endoribonuclease, found in archaea, bacteria and eukarya as well as chloroplasts and mitochondria. Its best characterised activity is the generation of mature 5'-ends of tRNAs by cleaving the 5'-leader elements of precursor-tRNAs. Cellular RNase Ps are ribonucleoproteins.
Source: RNAcentral
GAGGAAAGUCCGGACACCAAAGGGCUGGUUGCUGGGUAACGCCCAGUGCGCGUGAGCGUGAGGAUAGUGCCACAGAAAUGAAAACCGCCAGGCUUGCCUGGUAAGGGUGCAACGGUGCGGUAAGAGCGUCACCAGCAAGGUCGGGAGGCCUUGGCUAGGUAAACCCCGCUGAAGGUGCAAGGCUAAGGUAUAACUCGAGAUAACGGCGGCCCGUCGCCUUGAGUUGCCGAUGCUGCUAGAGGGUUCAGGAGACUGGGCUCGAAGAGAGAUGACGAUCGUAAUACAGAAUCCGGCUUA